UAUCCAAUUAUACAUUCUCUUGUAAGUUUAGGUAGGCAGUUUGUUAAAUUAAAUAGCUUAAACUAUCUAACAGUCAACUACCAAAGUCCUAACACACGUUUGAAAUAGGUCACUUAACAAACAAAUUGAAAUAAUCAGAAUAUUGUUUAUUACAAGCAUACAUAGGGAGUUCACCAACUAAGUUACCAUGUAUGAAUGUCUAGUUAUACAUCAGCUACCUAUAUGAUUCUAGUAGGGGAAAUGAACUAUUCUAUACACGACUGUUGUUAAAUAUACUACUAAAAAUGAAUUUUAAAAAAAUGGCUUCAUGCAAAUCAGUUGCGUACCUGAUAUUUGGAAAGCAAAGAAGAGGGAGAUCAGUAGAAACAGCAGUAACAUACACAGCAAAUAACAGUACUCAGCAACAAAUAGCAACACCCAAUAACCAGCAAUAACCAGCAGUAGAACCCAGGGACAGCUAAAACAAUCAGAAAAUCCAGUAGCGACCCAAUGAAACAAUGCUCAAUCCGCUAGAUAACAUCGCAGAUGCCGAAAAUAAAACCCAGCAGUACCAAAAGGCAAUCACAGAUAAAGCAGAAGAAAGGCAAAUGUAAGUAAACAAUACUGUUUCUGAUUAUCAGCCCUCAAGGAAGACCAAAUUGAAAUUUUUUAAGUGAAAAGUCAGCCUAAUGUCACUCUGUAUCUGACCUUUUUUCAGUUAUGAAAAAUCACUUCAACUCCAACUCUUAAGUUCUGAAUUCUUCUCUAAAAAAAUUCUCUUCUCUCUCAGAUUGUGUGUGUACCUUUAGUUUUAGAAUGAGCUUAUUUAUAGGCUAUAACUAGACAUCUUUUUCUCAAAGUUCCUCACUUUACAGCCAAUUUUAUUCCCUUCUCAUGUGCAUUUCUACCUUCUCAUCAUUAAACACAUGUUAUUACUGAUUUCCCACUGGUAAAGUCACUAAGCUAACUCAAACAGUACCCUUUUAUCAUUAACCCCUUAAGGUUUCUGAUCUUCCCCCUUUAAGGUAUUGAAAAGAAUGUCAGCUUUUAAUUUUAAAAAAUCCCUUGUUAUUCCCUGAAUCCCAUUACUGAAUGUCCAGUUUGUUAUUCCAAUUAAUUAAGUGUGCAGCCUGGAUUUUAUUCAAUUCUCCCAUGUUAUUUCUGACUUGACCCCACCCCAUAAUAUUAAAGAAAGUUAUCAGCUUAGUGGUACCUUAAUGCUACUGACAGAACAUUAAGUUCCUAACAAAAAACUAAGGUAUUUUCUUUUCAGGUUUUAAGACUAAAUUAACCCCAGGGCACAUGACCUACUGCCUUGUCCUAAAUUAGAACCCCCAUAACAUGAUUUAUAAUUAACUACUAAGGUAUUGCAGCUAUAACUAAUUUCACAACUAAAUUCAAACAAUGAUUCAAUCAAAAUUGAGACAGUAUGAAUCAAAUUGCUAUCAGGGCAUUAUAACAUUCAAACUUGUAAAACUAAUCAACGACACUCAAUCAAUCGACUAUAUAAAUCACCACAAACACUAUCAGGGCAUUCUAACAUUCAAACCUGUAAAACUAAUCGAUGAUACUCAAUCAAUCGACUAUAUAAAUCACCACAUACACAAUUGAUAACACAUAGAAACAAACAGACAAAAUAAAGGAUUCAAGUGAUGUGACAAAACAGGGGUUGUAAUGAAACUGACUAGUCGACCAAGUUUUCCAAAAUCGACUACACGGUUUAUACACUUAACAAUGAACAGACAAAAUUUUUGAUCAAAUAAAAGGUCUGAAUUGGAGAAGAAGAACAAAGCAUAUAGAUUGGAAAUAAAAUUAUUCUAACCACACAAACGAAUAAAAAAAUAGAACAAACAAAGAAAAAGAAAAGGAAUGCCUUGAGUAGACUACAUGACCCAAGUUCGAACUCAGACUCGACCUCUUUGAGGUCGAAUGGACCUUAAUCGAGUGUUCUCAAUGGAGAACACUUCGACUGAGGUCUAUUAGACCCCCAAUCCCUCUACUAAUUUGGACCAAUUCCUGGUUCUUGGAUUUCUAGGGUUCUUGGGCUCAGAUUAAGCUUGAAGGUUUCUACCUAGAUUCGAACCAAACAAAGAUUAGUUUGGUUACGAGUGAGUUUAGGGAAAGGUCGUGCAUCAGUUUCAGGCAAUUUGGUGUAGUUUGGAUUUGGAUUCGAAUCUUCGAAUGAAGAUUCGAGAAGUUUUGGCUUGGUUCGAGAGAUGUGGCUAGGUUAGUCGUGUUUGGGGUGAAGAGGGGGUUCUGUUGUUUUAAGAUGGUGACCGGCGGCGUAGUUGCCGAUGAGCUUCAGGUGGAAGGAGCUUAGGGCGUCUAGGGUUUUCAGAGGUUCGUCUCUGAUCUCUUGAGAGAGAUAAAGUGAGAUGGGGUGGGGUUGGCUAUGGGGGCGUGGGGUAAGAGACGGGGGGUUUAUAUACGAAGGGGGUGGUUGGAUCCUGGCCGUUGGAUCAAGAAUGAUCAACAGCCAAGAUAUUUCAUAUGGGUGAAACAGUGUCGUGUGAUUUAAGUGAGACUGGGUCGGUCUCUGGGGUUAAAUGGGUUGGGUAUCAGGGAAUGUUCGGGAAUGUUAAACAAGCUAAGAUGGAUGGCUCAUAUCACACGCCUAAAUACGGUGUCAUUUGGACUAGAAGGAGACCUGAUCUGGGUCGUUCAAAAAUGAUUUGAUCAACGGUGUCGUUU
Molecule: long non-coding RNA, 2670 nt
Filed under: Nicotiana benthamiana
Lineage: Eukaryota; Viridiplantae; Streptophyta; Magnoliopsida; Solanales; Solanaceae
Description: long non-coding RNA (NBEN_LNC012616)
Source: RNAcentral